GACGAACGCUGGCGGCGUGCUUAACACAUGCAAGUGGAGCGACGAACCAGGGCUUGCCCUGGGGCAAAGCCGCGAACGGGUGAGUAACACGUGGGUAACCUGCCCCGAUGACCGGGACAACCCGAGGAAACUCGGGCUAAUACCGGAUGAGCUCCUACCACAUGAGUGGUUUGAGGAAAGGAAGCUUCGGCCUCCGCAUCGGGAUGGGCCCGCGGCCCAUUAGCUUGUUGGUGAGGUAACGGCCCACCAAGGCUUCGAUGGGUAGCUGGUCUGAGAGGACGAUCAGCCACACUGGGACUGAGACACGGUCCAGACACCUACGGGUGGCAGCAGUCGAGAAUUUUUCUCAAUGGGGGCAACCCUGAAGGAGCGACGCCGCGUGGAGGAUGAAGGCUUUCGGGUGUAACUCCUGUCAUUUGGGAACAAGUUACACACGUUAACUGCGUGGUAUGAUAGUACCAGAAGAGGAAGAGACGGCUAACUCUGU
This 487-nucleotide ribosomal RNA is filed under the name uncultured bacterium. RNAcentral describes it as "bacterial SSU rRNA". It matches the Rfam family "Bacterial small subunit ribosomal RNA", at positions 28 to 506 of the family's 1533-position model. The record is from RNAcentral.